CCUACGGGAGGCAGCAGUGAGGAAUAUUGGUCAAUGGACGAGAGUCUGAACCAGCCAAGUAGCGUGAAGGAUGACUGCCCUAUGGGUUGUAAACUUCUUUUGUACGAGAGUAAACGCAGAUACGCGUAUCUGUCUGAAAGUAUCGUACGAAUAAGGAUCGGCUAACUCCGUGCCAGCAGCCGCGGUAAUACGGAGGAUUCAAGCGUUAUCCGGAUUUAUUGGGUUUAAAGGGUGCGUAGGCGGUCGGAUAAGUCAGUUGUGAAAUCCUGAGGCUCAACUGUGGAAUUGCCUCUGAUACUGUCAGGCUAGAGAGUAGUUGAGGUAGGCGGAAUGUAUGGUGUAGCGGUGAAAUGCUUAGAGAUCAUAAAGAACACCGAUUGCGAAGGCAGCUUACCAAGCUACUUCUGACGUUGAGGCACGAAAGUGUGGGGAGCAAACAGGAUUAGAUACCCUUGUAGUC
This 460-nucleotide ribosomal RNA is filed under the name uncultured bacterium. RNAcentral describes it as "partial 16S ribosomal RNA". It matches the Rfam family "Bacterial small subunit ribosomal RNA", at positions 338 to 795 of the family's 1533-position model. The record is from RNAcentral.